GUAGGUGAACCUGCGGAAGGAUCAUUAACGAGUAAGGGGCUUUGCGCCCCGGGGGCCUCGGCCCCGACUCCUCACCCUGUGCGUACCUACCUCUGUUGCUUUGGCGGGCCUCGGUUAACCCCGACGUCGGCCCGGGGGCGACCCCGGGCCCGCGAGUGCCCGCCGGAGGCCAGUCUUACUCUUGUUUAUCAGUGAAGUCUGAGGAAAUUCAAUAACUAAAACUUUCAACAACGGAUCUCUUGAUUCUG
This 248-nucleotide unclassified non-coding RNA is filed under the name rhizosphere metagenome. RNAcentral describes it as "partial ribosomal RNA internal transcribed spacer region". The record is from RNAcentral.